Molecule: unclassified non-coding RNA, 391 nt
Filed under: soil metagenome
Description: partial contains 5.8S ribosomal RNA, internal transcribed spacer 2, and large subunit ribosomal RNA
Rfam family: 5.8S ribosomal RNA (bases 1-122)
Source: RNAcentral
GAUGAAGAACGUAGCGAAAUGCGAUACUUGGUGUGAAUUGCAGAAUCCCGUGAACCAUCGAGUCUUUGAACGCAAGUUGCGCCCGAAGCCAUUAGGCCGAGGGCACGCCUGCCUGGGCGUCACACGUCGUUGCCCCCCCAUCUACUCCUUCGGGAUUGCGGGGGGCGGAUGAUGGCCUCCCGUGCGCCUCGCCGCGCGGUUGGCAUAAAUGCCAAGUCCUCGGCGACGCACGCCACGACCAUCGGUGGUUGCGAAACCUCGGUUGCCCGUCGUGUGCGGUCGUCGCGCAUCGAGGGCUCGAAAAAAUUGCCGGGUUCCGGCUCGGCUUUCAACGCGACCCCAGGUCAGGCGGGGUUACCCGCUGAAUUUAAGCAUAUCAAUAAGCGGAGGA